This 225-nucleotide unclassified non-coding RNA is filed under the name uncultured Ascomycota. RNAcentral describes it as "sequence contains ITS1". Lineage: Eukaryota; Fungi; Ascomycota. The record is from RNAcentral.
CCGAGUUUUUUUCAACUCCCAAACCCCACGCGAACCGUACCCAUCGUUGCUUCGGCGCGGCGGCCCCGGAUUCGCGCGCGCUUAUGCGCGUGCGGCCCGGAACGAGGCCCCCGCCGGAGACCCCAACCUAAACUCUUUGCGUGCCAAGCGAGACCUCCUAGGAGGGCGAGCGCGGCCUUUAUUCUGAGUGGCCCCUUUUGGGGCAGAGCAAAAACAAAUGAAUCA